UACAGAGGUCCCAAGCGUUGUUCGGAUUCACUGGGCGUAAAGGGUGCGUAGGUGGUGGGGUAAGUCGGAUGUGAAAGCUCGGAGCUCAACUCCGAAAUGGCAUUGGAAACUACCCUGCUAGAGGAUUGGAGGGGGGACUGGAAUACUUGGUGUAGCAGUGAAAUGCGUAGAGAUCAAGAGGAACACUCGUGGCGAAAGCGAGCUACUGGACAAUUCCUGACGCUGAGGCUCGAAGGCUAGGGUAGCGAGAGGG
RNAcentral lists this ribosomal RNA (253 nucleotides) under uncultured bacterium. RNAcentral describes it as "partial 16S ribosomal RNA". It matches the Rfam family "Bacterial small subunit ribosomal RNA", at positions 524 to 776 of the family's 1533-position model. The record is from RNAcentral.